GUGCUCACUUUGGCAGCAAGUACACUAAAAUUGGAAUCAUACAGAGAUUAGCAUGGUUCCCUGUGCAAGGAUGACACGCAAAUUUGUGAAGCAUUCCAUAUUUUU
This is a small nuclear RNA of Molossus molossus (Pallas's mastiff bat), 105 nucleotides long. Lineage: Eukaryota; Metazoa; Chordata; Mammalia; Chiroptera; Molossidae. The record is from RefSeq and is a predicted model, not a curated record.